CUUAGAACGUUUUUUCCAUCCCAAAUAGGCAGGGUGUGACGUCGAAGGCUCCUGGGGUGCCCCGGCCUCUGCCAGCCUUGGUCCUUAGGAUCCCCUCAGAACCCCAGCAGGCCCUGGUCUGAGGCCGGCUUGGCCCCGCUUCCCUCCUAGCACCGCGCCCCCCCUUGCCUGUCCCUGCCCCCAACACCCACAGCCCCAGCUCUGCAGAGGCCUCUGAACUCCUCCCCCAGCUCUGCUCCUACUGCAUCCACUCAGCCUCCAGGCCUGUCUUGCCCUGGCCAAGCCUCUCCAGCGUCCAUAUCUCCCUCUGCUCCAGGGAGGGGGUCCCCACAGCUCGGCCAAGGCUUUACCCCAACUUCACAGUUCCCCCCGCAUGAUCCACACAGAGGGCCUGGUGAAGUCCUCGGUGCCCACCCACCGAGAAGGCCGGACUGAGACACACGCA
This 445-nucleotide long non-coding RNA is filed under the name Gorilla gorilla gorilla (western lowland gorilla). Its description in RNAcentral is "lncRNA (ENSGGOG00000044518.1)". Lineage: Eukaryota; Metazoa; Chordata; Mammalia; Primates; Hominidae. The record is from RNAcentral.